Molecule: ribosomal RNA, 675 nt
Filed under: Vibrio parahaemolyticus
Lineage: Bacteria; Pseudomonadati; Pseudomonadota; Gammaproteobacteria; Vibrionales; Vibrionaceae
Description: partial 23S ribosomal RNA
Rfam family: Bacterial large subunit ribosomal RNA
Source: RNAcentral
GGGGGGACCAUCCUCCAAGGCUAAAUACUACUGACUGACCGAUAGUGAACCAGUACCGUGAGGGAAAGGCGAAAAGAACCCCUGUGAGGGGAGUGAAAUAGAACCUGAAACCGUGUACGUACAAGCAGUAGGAGCAGGCUUUGUCCUGUGACUGCGUACCUUUUGUAUAAUGGGUCAGCGACUUAUAUUCAGUGGCAAGGUUAACCAUCUAGGGGAGCCGUAGGGAAACCGAGUCUUAACUGGGCGUUCAGUCUCUGGAUAUAGACCCGAAACCAGGUGAUCUAGCCAUGGGCAGGUUGAAGGUUGAGUAACAUCAACUGGAGGACCGAACCGACUAAUGUUGAAAAAUUAGCGGAUGACUUGUGGCUAGGGGUGAAAGGCCAAUCAAACCUGGAGAUAGCUGGUUCUCCCCGAAAGCUAUUUAGGUAGCGCCUCGGACGAAUACUACUGGGGGUAGAGCACUGUUAAGGCUAGGGGGUCAUCCCGACUUACCAACCCUUUGCAAACUCCGAAUACCAGUAAGUACUAUCCGGGAGACACACGGCGGGUGCUAACGUCCGUCGUGGAGAGGGAAACAACCCAGACCGCCAGCUAAGGUCCCAAAUUACUACUAAGUGGGAAACGAUGUGGGAAGGCUCAGACAGCCAGGAUGUUGGCUUAGAAGCAGCCAUCAUU